GGGUUGUGAGGUUAAGCGACUAAGCGUACACGGUGGAUGCCCUGGCAGUCAGAGGCGAUGAAGGACGUGCUAAUCUGCGAUAAGCGUCGGUGAGGUGAUAUGAACCGUUAUAACCGGCGAUUUCCGAAUGGGGAAACCCAGUGUGUUUCGACACACUAUCAUUAACUGAAUCCAUAGGUUAAUGAGGCGAACCGGGGGAACUGAAACAUCUAAGUACCCCGAGGAAAAGAAAUCAACCGAGAUUCCCCCAGUAGCGGCGAGCGAACGGGGAGGAGCCCAGAGCCUGAAUCAGUGUGUGUGUUAGUGGAAGCGUCUGGAAAGGCGCGCGAUACAGGGUGACAGCCCCGUACACAAAAAUGCACAUAUUGUGAGCUCGAUGAGUAGGGCGGGACACGUGGUAUCCUGUCUGAAUAUGGGGGGACCAUCCUCCAAGGCUAAAUACUCCUGACUGACCGAUAGUGAACCAGUACCGUGAGGGAAAGGCGAAAAGAACCUCGGCGAGGGAGUGAAAAAGAACCUGAAACCGUGUACGUACAAGCAGUGGGAGCCUCUUAAUGGGGUGACUGCGUACCUUUUGUAUAAUGGGUCAGCGACUUAUAUUCUGUAGCAAGGUUAACCGAAUAGGGGAGCCGAAGGGAAACCGAGUCUUAACUGGGCGUUAAGUUGCAGGGUAUAGACCCGAAACCCGGUGAUCUAGCCAUGGGCAGGUUGAAGGUUGGGUAACACUAACUGGAGGACCGAACCGACUAAUGUUGAAAAAUUAGCGGAUGACUUGUGGCUGGGGGUGAAAGGCCAAUCAAACCGGGAGAUAGCUGGUUCUCCCCGAAAGCUAUUUAGGUAGCGCCUCGUGAAUUCAUCUCCGGGGGUAGAGCACUGUUUCGGCAAGGGGGUCAUCCCGACUUACCAACCCGAUGCAAACUGCGAAUACCGGAGAAUGUUAUCACGGGAGACACACGGCGGGUGCUAACGUCCGUCGUGAAGAGGGAAACAACCCAGACCGCCAGCUAAGGUCCCAAAGUCAUGGUUAAGUGGGAAACGAUGUGGGAAGGCCCAGACAGCCAGGAUGUUGGCUUAGAAGCAGCCAUCAUUUAAAGAAAGCGUAAUAGCUCACUGGUCGAGUCGGCCUGCGCGGAAGAUGUAACGGGGCUAAACCAUGCACCGAAGCUGCGGCAGCGACACUAUGUGUUGUUGGGUAGGGGAGCGUUCUGUAAGCCUGUGAAGGUGGCCUGUGAGGGUUGCUGGAGGUAUCAGAAGUGCGAAUGCUGACAUAAGUAACGAUAAAGCGGGUGAAAAGCCCGCUCGCCGGAAGACCAAGGGUUCCUGUCCAACGUUAAUCGGGGCAGGGUGAGUCGACCCCUAAGGCGAGGCCGAAAGGCGUAGUCGAUGGGAAACAGGUUAAUAUUCCUGUACUUGGUGUUACUGCGAAGGGGGACGGAGAAGGCUAUGUUGGCCGGGCGACGGUUGUCCCGGUUUAAGCGUGUAGGCUGGUUUUCCAGGCAAAUCCGGAAAAUCAAGGCUGAGGCGUGAUGACGAGGCACUACGGUGCUGAAGCGACAAAUGCCCUGCUUCCAGGAAAAGCCUCUAAGCAUCAGGUAACAUCAAAUCGUACCCCAAACCGACACAGGUGGUCAGGUAGAGAAUACCAAGGCGCUUGAGAGAACUCGGGUGAAGGAACUAGGCAAAAUGGUGCCGUAACUUCGGGAGAAGGCACGCUGAUAUGUAGGUGAAGCGACUUGCUCGUGGAGCUGAAAUCAGUCGAAGAUACCAGCUGGCUGCAACUGUUUAUUAAAAACACAGCACUGUGCAAACACGAAAGUGGACGUAUACGGUGUGACGCCUGCCCGGUGCCGGAAGGUUAAUUGAUGGGGUUAGCGGUAACGCGAAGCUCUUGAUCGAAGCCCCGGUAAACGGCGGCCGUAACUAUAACGGUCCUAAGGUAGCGAAAUUCCUUGUCGGGUAAGUUCCGACCUGCACGAAUGGCGUAAUGAUGGCCAGGCUGUCUCCACCCGAGACUCAGUGAAAUUGAACUCGCUGUGAAGAUGCAGUGUACCCGCGGCAAGACGGAAAGACCCCGUGAACCUUUACUAUAGCUUGACACUGAACAUUGAGCCUUGAUGUGUAGGAUAGGUGGGAGGCUUUGAAGUGUGGACGCCAGUCUGCAUGGAGCCGACCUUGAAAUACCACCCUUUAAUGUUUGAUGUUCUAACGUGGGCCCCUUACCGGGGUUGCGGACAGUGUCUGGUGGGUAGUUUGACUGGGGCGGUCUCCUCCUAAAGAGUAACGGAGGAGCACGAAGGUUGGCUAAUCCUGGUCGGACAUCAGGAGGUUAGUGCAAUGGCAUAAGCCAGCUUGACUGCGAGCGUGACGGCGCGAGCAGGUGCGAAAGCAGGUCAUAGUGAUCCGGUGGUUCUGAAUGGAAGGGCCAUCGCUCAACGGAUAAAAGGUACUCCGGGGAUAACAGGCUGAUACCGCCCAAGAGUUCAUAUCGACGGCGGUGUUUGGCACCUCGAUGUCGGCUCAUCACAUCCUGGGGCUGAAGUAGGUCCCAAGGGUAUGGCUGUUCGCCAUUUAAAGUGGUACGCGAGCUGGGUUUAGAACGUCGUGAGACAGUUCGGUCCCUAUCUGCCGUGGGCGCUGGAGAACUGAGGGGGGCUGCUCCUAGUACGAGAGGACCGGAGUGGACGCAUCACUGGUGUUCGGGUUGUCAUGCCAAUGGCACUGCCCGGUAGCUAAAUGCGGAAGAGAUAAGUGCUGAAAGCAUCUAAGCACGAAACUUGCCCCGAGAUGAGUUCUCCCUGACUCCUUGAGAGUCCUGAAGGAACGUUGAAGACGACGACGUUGAUAGGCCGGGUGUGUAAGCGCAGCGAUGCGUUGAGCUAACCGGUACUAAUGAACCGUGAGGCUUAACCUUACAACGCCGAAG
Molecule: ribosomal RNA, 2923 nt
Filed under: Escherichia coli
Lineage: Bacteria; Pseudomonadati; Pseudomonadota; Gammaproteobacteria; Enterobacterales; Enterobacteriaceae
Description: bacterial LSU rRNA
Rfam family: Bacterial large subunit ribosomal RNA
Source: RNAcentral